UAGCUCUGUUGGUAGAGCAUGGUGUUUGCAACGCCAGGGUUGUGGGUUCGAUUCCCAU
RNAcentral lists this transfer RNA (58 nucleotides) under Salmo salar (Atlantic salmon). It matches the Rfam family "tRNA", at positions 8 to 63 of the family's 71-position model. From Rfam's summary of the family: Transfer RNA (tRNA) molecules are approximately 80 nucleotides in length. The record is from Rfam by way of RNAcentral. Lineage: Eukaryota; Metazoa; Chordata; Actinopteri; Salmoniformes; Salmonidae. RNAcentral also lists the same sequence under 1 other name.